GACGAACGCUGGCGGCGUGCUUAACACAUGCAAGUCGAACGGAAAGGCCCUGCUUUUGUGGGGUGCUCUAGUGGCGAACGGGUGAGUAACACGUGAGUAACCUGCCCUUGACUUUGGGAUAACUUCAGGAAACUGGGGCUAAUACCGGAUAGGAGCUCCUGCUGCAUGGUGGGGGUUGGAAAGUUUCGGCGGUUGGGGAUGGACUCGCGGCUUAUCAGCUUGUUGGUGGGGUAGUGGCUUACCAAGGCUUUGACGGGUAGCCGGCCUGAGAGGGUGACCGGCCACAUUGGGACUGAGAUACGGCCCAGACUCAUACGUGAGGCAGCAGUGGGGAAUAUUGCAUGAUGGGCGGAAGCCUGAUGCAGCAACGCCGCGUGCGGGAUGACGGCCUUCGUGUUGUAAACCGCUUUCGCCUGUGACGAAGCGUGAGUGACGGUAAUGGGUAAAGAAGCACCGGCUAACUACGUG
Molecule: ribosomal RNA, 468 nt
Filed under: uncultured bacterium
Lineage: Bacteria
Description: partial 16S ribosomal RNA
Rfam family: Bacterial small subunit ribosomal RNA
Source: RNAcentral